Ruditapes philippinarum (Manila clam) is the source of this 4900-nucleotide long non-coding RNA. RefSeq lists it as uncharacterized. The record is from RefSeq and is a predicted model, not a curated record. NCBI's taxonomy places the organism in Eukaryota, Metazoa, Mollusca, Bivalvia, Venerida, Veneridae. The transcript has 2 exons.
AGCACAGGUUUUUAUUUUUCUGCGAGUCAUUGAGGGCUUUAGCGCAGGUUUUUAUUUUUCUGUGAGCUUUUGAGCUUUAGCACAGGUUUUUAUUUUUCUGUGAGCUUUUGAGCUUUAGCACAGGUUUUUAUUUUUCUGUGAGCUUUUGAGCUUUAGCACAGGUUUUGUAUUUUUUCUGUGAGCUUUUGAGCUUUAGCACAAGUUUUUAUAAUUUCUGCGAGUCCUUAGGGCUUUAGCGCAGGCUUUAAUAAAUUGUUUUUAGAGCAAUUAGUCUUUAACAUCAUUCUAAAAAAAAAAAAAAAAAAUUUUUUAAUGACUGGACCGCCAUAAAUUUAUGUUUACUUACUUAAUGUGUGAAUAUAUCUUUUUAAAUAGCAUAAGCACUUAGGUUAUGAAAGAGGAAGAUAGAGAAAUUGUCUGUCUGGCAGUAAUUUGUCAUGGUCAUUAAUGCCAGAUGCAAGAUGCCUUGGAAGUAAGUUAGGGUCAUAAAACUUUGUUCAUGCUUAAUUCAGUACCCCUGCAGAGAUAUUGGUAUCAUCAAACAGGAUAAUAGUAACAUUGAACUGUGAAUUCUUUGAUGUAGGCAUUGAUAUACAUUCUCAUCCCUAAGAUGUCCAUGCUUUAUUGUAUUGCUAGCUAAUUACUUUAUCAGUAUGGUUAAGCAAAUGGAAGUAGAAUGAUCAUAAACAAUAAAAGAUAAAAAUAAAUAAUAAUGAUAAUAAAUAUUUAAAUACAAAAGUAAAUAAAUAAAAAAUGAAUACAUAUUAAACAAGUGAACAAAGUAUUAAAACUUAAUACAUAUCUAUAUAUGUAUAUAUUUUGUUAUAUAAGUAAAUAAUAAAAAAAAAAAAAAUAAUAAUAAUAAUAUAUAUAUAUAUAAUAAUAAUAAUAAUAGAUAAAAAAAAAAAACACAUAUAUAUAUAUAUAUAUAAGAAUCAUAAAAAUGUUAUUAAUUAAUAAUAGCCAGAAUUUUAAUGGGUGGUAUCUCUUAUAUGGCAACAUGAAAUUAAAAUGAUUAAAAACAUAAGCAUAUAUUAAUUACGAAUGAAAUAAAUUAUGGAUUUAUUCUUAUUAAGAAUUUAAAGUGUUACUAUUUUUAAUUUAAAUAUUUGCGGCAAAGGCCAUGCCUCCAGUGUCAUGUACCAGAUUAUAUUUAAUCUGGUACUAUUAUAAUAGUAGUCAGUUCCUAAUGAAUUGAUAUUUAAUGUUUCAGCGGCAAAGGCCUUGCCUCCAUGUCAUGUACCAGAUUAUUAUAUUAAUCUGGUACUAUUAUAAUAGUAGUCAGUGUUUUUGAUUUUGUUAUGAAUAACAAAACCUUAAAUAAAUAAAAUAUGGCAGUUUUAUUAUAAUUAUUAUUAUUUUAUUUUCGUAUCGACUGACCGUUAUACUUCAAUACAAUUACUACCGACAUACAUAUCCGCUAUGUAAAACAACAGUUAAGGAAAUAUACCUUUGAAAAUGAAUUUAUGUUUUUGUUUGAAAAACAAGGUACUUGUUCUCUCUCAUUUAUUUUACAGGAGAGCCUUGAAGAGAAUCUACAAACUUUGCAUACAGCUACUAGUAAAUACAAAAUUACGGAAGUACCAGUGUACGAGAUUAUACCACAAAAAACAUUAAAGAAGGACAUCCACAUACAGGGAAUAAUUAGUUGUUAUAAAGGAAAUAAAACCUAAACAUGACCACAAACAAUCUGACGGAUGGAAACACUUAGAUGACUGUUCUUACAUUCCAGCAUUUGGAAAAAAAAAAAAAAAAAAAAAAAAAAAAAAAAAAAAAAAAAAAAAAAAACAAAAACAAAAACGAUUUCUUCAAAAAUAAAACUGAUGCAAAAACAAACCGACUCCAAAUAUUUCAAUUUUUUAACAUUUCUUGAGUGUGAACCAUUUCAUAAAUCUUUCAUAUAAGUACAUGAUAAAAUACAUGAGGCACCUUGAGGAGUUUGACAAUUUUACAUAUCAUGUAUACAAUAUCAUUGGUGAGACUUUCUGGAUUACAACUUUAAGACUCUGACACCUGAUCUGUGAUAUCUUGUGAACUUUACCCACUGCUACCAUAUUGGGGUGUAUGGUAAUAAGUAGACAAUUCAUUUAGACAUAAAUUUAAAAGUCGAAAGAGUAUUAAUAACACACCUUUUUUUAUACUGACAAACUCAUAUUUUAUAGUGACUGAUUGUCAUAAUAACAUAAUAACAAUUUAGUUAAAUUUCAACAAAUGAAUUUUUUUUUGUAAUAUUAAUUAUUUGUUGGAAGUUCUCGUUGCGAUAUCGGCUACAAGUUACAUGCAAGUCUGAUAAUUUACAUAAUUUAGCAUAUACCAUUGCCUGCCUGCAAUGCAGAAAUGAUAAUCAUUACAAUAUUACAUAACACUGCUGAUAGUACUAUUGAACACAUGCAAUGUUAGUUGAUGGGUAAUCAAUAUCACUGUAGUGUAGCGUAGUUUAAGUACCUGUGUUAAUUAAUACCACAUGUAACAAAUCGUAUGGAUGAUUUUAUAGGCAUUUAAUAGGUCCAUUUGUUAGACUUAUCAAUCUGAAACUUACUUCUGAAGCAUUUAAAGAAUUAUAUUCAUUUAAUUCAGUACAACUGAAUUUAUAAGAUGGUAACGAUUAUGAAAAAUUACAAUCCUAGCGUGUGUUUAUUAUUAACGUCGAAAGUGUUAUUUACAUUAUAUGUUAUUCAUUUAAUCACGAGUUUCUUUAUAAAUUUUAGAAAUACUAUACAUUGUUAUUUUAACACAUAUUUGUUGAUAAAUAAAUGUGUUGUUUUAUUUACGACACCAUUUAAACAUAUUGUGAUGUAUUCUAAGUAUAUUAGCAAUAAUAUGCGUUAUUGACGUUAAAACAUUCCCUAAAUUGACUACGUAUGUAACACAGUGAUAUUGUGUCUAUAACACAUUUCUAAUUUGCAGCAUCAUUGUGUAUGUUUAAUAUGAGAUGCUAGAAUGAAAGAUAUAACUUUUUGGUUGAAAUUGAUUUAAUUUGACAACAUUGUCAAGAUUUAUGCAUUAACGAUUUACAAGUUAAUAGAUUUUAAUCUAAUAGAGUGAAUAUGUGAGCAUUAAGAUAAUCCCAGUUUACGACACUAGCUUAACAUAUGGGGGUGUAUAUUAACUACAUGUAUGUGUUGUUUAAAUAUUAAUUAUACUGUAUACAUUAAUUAUAAAAUUAUAUUGUAUUUUAUUUUCAAACUAUGCAUCCUGUACCUAAUAAAUAUGUUGUUAUGAGACAGUACUUGUUUAGAUAUUAGUUUAACAUAUUGGGGUGUAUGUUAAAUAUGUAGUGUUUAAAUGUUAAUUAAUUUUAACUUGUAAAUUGAAUUAACAAUUACCUAAAGUUUGUAUGUUCUUUUCGAACUAUGCAUUCACUUAAGGAAUAAAAUGUCUUAAUAAAUUAAAUCACAGUUAGACUAGUUUAACAUAUUGAAGUAUAUGUUAACUAUGUAUUGCUUAAAUGUUAAUUAUAGCUUAUAUAUUGAAUUUAGUUUAUCAGUUUAACAAAUCAAAAUGUUUUUGUAGUUUAACGCACAAGAGUGAUAAUAAACUAUGUAUAAAUAACACGUUAAUCCUAACUUUAUUUUGAACUUCAUGUUUACUUAAGAACAGUUUGUGAUAAAUAUACAUUGAUAAGAUGAGAUAAGAUAAGAUAAGAUCUGUUUAUAGUGACUCUAAUUUUAACAUUCUUGGUUUUUCAAGAACAAUACUAAUAGUGAUAGUAAGUGUAUUUUUAUAUGUAUAUACUUUUAUAUGUAGACAACAAGAUUUUUCAUAAUUAUCUAUAUUUUUGUCUGUAAAUUGUAAAGUAAUCUUUAUGUCACAAUUCGUUUUAUUAGUAACCAUCACCAAUUUCUUUAAGAUAUGUUUUUCAAGCUUAUACUGUAACGUUAAUUAAUCUGUUCUAUAUGUCUAGAAUUUACAACUGAUUAUUUUAUAUGUCUGAAAUAUACAACUGUAUAUUUCUUUGAUCUUAUGACAGCACAAUAACAGCAGGAGGCGCGCAAAUCGUACACUUUUGGACUUUUACCUAUAUAAGUUUCCUUUUGUUUUUGUUUUACUUUCUAAUUUUGCAUAUUAUCAUUUUGUACUCAAAAUGCAUUAACUUAACUUUUAUGUUUAGCAGCCUACUUACUUGAAGUAAAGGGUUUGUAAAAUAUUUUUCAAGGAUGUAGCCCUACAUCAAGUGGUACUAGACACAAGAUAAAAGGGCACAGGUUUCCAGACUAUGGUUUUUCCUGGGCGAGUCGACCACGAUUUGAAAAAUAUUUAUGAUCAGUAGUUUAUAUGAUAUAUACAAUAUCUUUAUAUACAAUAUUAUAUAUACAAUAUCUAUAUUUUUACAUACAUGUGUAAAUGUGGGUGUUUUUGUUGUCCAACUUUGUGUCAUUUUUAUAAAGUUUGUUACAAUUGUUGGUUUUUGUUGUUCGACUUUGUGUCAUCUAUUAUAAUGUUUACUACAAUUGUUUUCUAUAUAAAAGCGUAUUUGGAGUUUAUUGGUUAAUCUUUUGAUUAUAUCAUAAUCUAUUAUUAGACAAUAAAGACGGCCGGUAUCAUGCUGAACAUUGUUUAUAAUGAUGCAAAGACUUUAUUGUUAACUAAUUUAAAGACUUUUAGUUGCUGGUGUAAUCUGGACCAAUCCAUUAUUAAAAUUGUUAAUACCAUUAUUAAAAUUGUUAAUAUUUUUGUGGCAUAUCGAUCUAGGCAGUCAACACAUAAUGUCAACAUUUUAAUUUGUACAUAAUGAACAUCACUUGCUUGGGCUGGUGACAAUAGUUAUAACAUUGUGUGUAUAUAUAUUCGGGUCACUUGCUGGGGCUUGUGACAAAUGAUAUGUUUGAUUAUUAUUUCAUUAAAUAUCAUAGGUUGGUUAGCUUCAGUUAAAAAAAAAAAAAAAAAAAAAAAAAAAUAA